UCCUAAAUCUCACGCUUUUUCCCUCUUUGUGUUGAACACCGAUGAUGGAAGAAAUCCCAUUCGUUUCGCAGCUUAUAAACACCGAUUUGAAGAAAUCCCCACCGAUUUGCAGGUUUGUUCUCGCACGUGGCACUUUCGGCACCGUCACCUCCUCUCAAAUUUCACUUUCGGUUGAACAGCGGCAGUGACAAUUAGGGUGUUAAGAUCUAGGGUUCCGACAAAAACGGAGAUGGUUACAGUUGGAUUUCAUAUUCUGGUGGCGAUGACUAGAUUAUUGAUGAGGUUUUGGUUGGAAUUCGCGACUGCAUGCUCAAGUUUAGGAAAACAAGGGUUUGGUAAGUAGAGAUUCCGGAGAUAUAUGGCAUAAACAAGCUUUCUAUAACAACAAGAAGUAGAAGGCGGAGGUGCUGCUAGGCCCCAACUGUACAAGAUUUGAUAUUUAAAAGUGAGAUGUUGAUAAUUUAUGGGAGAUUGAGAAAUUGAGAUCAGGAUUGAUGAAAACUCACACAAUUGGUCAUGGGUUUAUCAUGUGCAAAGGUGGGUUUCUAUAAUUUGUCAGAGCUACUGGACAUAAAUAUGGAUUCUGCCCAAUGACAACGUUUCAGGUUCAUGAAUAUUUUAGGCCUAAGGUUAUGUUGAAGUUGGGUGAUAUACAUAAAAACAAAUUUCAUACAAGAUAAAACAAGGGGAAGCUUUGUCUCUUGUGUCCUGCCUAAAAAGAGACAUUGGGAAGCUAACAUACUUUAUGGGACUAGAAGUACAGCAAAGAUCAGAUGGCAUUUACUUGUCUCAAAAGCAAUAUGCUAAGGAUAUAUUGAACAGGUUUGGAAUGGCUUCAUGCAAGUGUAGCCGUUACAAUCCCGCGCAGAGUCAGUCAAAUAAGUUAGUGAAUCUUUUGUGGUCAUUUUGGAUAACACGGAUUGUUAGUAGAAGGUUGUUAGGAGUGUUUGUUUGUUUGAGUCUUUGAGUCUGCUGUAACCUGCACUAUAUAAGCUGGUUCUCGGUUAUUAAUAAAAUACUUUGCAAUUACCUCG
This 1034-nucleotide long non-coding RNA is filed under the name Helianthus annuus (common sunflower). Lineage: Eukaryota; Viridiplantae; Streptophyta; Magnoliopsida; Asterales; Asteraceae. The record is from RNAcentral.